GGGGGUAGAGCACUGUUUCGGCUAGGGGGUCAUCCCGACUUACCAAACCGAUGCAAACUCCGAAUACCUACAAGUGCCGAGCAUGGGAGACACACGGCGGGUGCUAACGUCCGUCGUGAAAAGGGAAACAACCCAGACCGUCAGCUAAGGUCCCAAAGUUAUGGUUAAGUGGGAAACGAUGUGGGAAGGCUUAGACAGCUAGGAGGUUGGCUUAGAAGCAGCCACCCUUUAAAGAAAGCGUAAUAGCUCACUAGUCGAGUCGGCCUGCGCGGAAGAUGUAACGGGGCUCAAACCAUACACCGAAGCUACGGGUAUCACGUAAGUGAUGCGGUAGAGGAGCGUUCUGUAAGCCUGUGAAGGUGAGUUGAGAAGCUUGCUGGAGGUAUCAGAAGUGCGAAUGCUGACAUGAGUAACGACAAUGGGUGUGAAAAACACCCACGCCGAAAGACCAAGGUUUCCUGCGCAACGUUAAUCGACGCAGGGUUAGUCGGUCCCUAAGGCGAGGCUGAAAAGCGUAGUCGAUGGAAAACAGGUUAAUAUUCCUGUACUUCUGGUUAUUGCGAUGGAGGGACGGAGAAGGC
This 581-nucleotide ribosomal RNA is filed under the name Arthrobacter mobilis. Its description in RNAcentral is "Bacterial large subunit ribosomal RNA". It matches the Rfam family "Bacterial large subunit ribosomal RNA", at positions 898 to 1482 of the family's 2925-position model. Lineage: Bacteria; Bacillati; Actinomycetota; Actinomycetes; Micrococcales; Micrococcaceae. The record is from Rfam by way of RNAcentral.